GGCAAAGACAGAUCACCAACUUUCCUUUGAUGGAAAGUUUUGCCAUUUUAAAUUGAUGAAUUUUAAAUAUUUGCUUCGCUGAAUCUCUCAUAAUAGCAAGUUUUUGAUGGAAUCGUGAUGUGAAUGAUUAGGUCAACGUUCAAUGUACAGUUAAAAAUAAGUUGAUCAUCACUAUAUUAGAGUCAGCAUUUAGUCUCAUUAUUAAUUAAAUGCAUAAAAAUGUGGUAUUAAUUAAGGCAAAUCUCAAAAAUAGCACAUUUCUAAGUUUAUAUCACAAAAAUAGCACUCCAAAACUAAAAUGACCAAAAUAGCACAUUUCUAAGUUUAUCCUUUGAAAAUUUUAAUUUUUUUAUUUUUCAAAAUUUGAAAUCUUAACUCCAAAACCUCAUUUCUCAACUCUAAACCCUAAACUCUAAACCCUAAACCCUAAACCCUAAACCCUAAACCGUAAACCC
This 455-nucleotide long non-coding RNA is filed under the name Brassica napus (rape). RNAcentral's name for it is "long non-coding RNA (BNAP_LNC023503)". The record is from RNAcentral. Lineage: Eukaryota; Viridiplantae; Streptophyta; Magnoliopsida; Brassicales; Brassicaceae.